This 4966-nucleotide long non-coding RNA is filed under the name Apis mellifera (honey bee). Its description in RNAcentral is "uncharacterized LOC100577863, transcript variant X2". The record is from RNAcentral. Lineage: Eukaryota; Metazoa; Arthropoda; Insecta; Hymenoptera; Apidae.
UCUAUCCAGAUAAAAAUUGAACAUCCUUACACAUUCUUUUCUAAUUGCAGGAAUAAAAAGAAAUCAAUCGUCUUUAUCAUCUCUAUCAUCUCGAGCAGAUCGAUAUCUCUCUUAACAUCCGAUACAAUUUCCAUCUGGCACAUUACAGCCACAUCCUUUCAUCGUCGAAACAUAAAAUUCCCUCUGCCCUUACGCGUCGUGAAGAAAAAGAAAGUAAGACAGAAAAAAAGGGGGAGAGAGAAAAAGAGAAUAAAUCUGCCAGCCUACAUACUUUUCCCGAUCGAUACUCGUCGAUCGUCAAAGAGUCGCACGACCGUAAAGAAACUGUCGUUCGCCUCGAUUUCAAUGCAUACACAUCUUUUACGUGCUCGAUAGAGUGUGAUGCAGUGUGACGUUCGAUGAAUAACGAUCACCCACCCAGGCCAUCGACACAUCGCAACGUUAUGCCGCGCAACAUCAGCAGGAAACAACUUUGAUCAAGGAAUCGUGACUCCUUUUCUUCCGUUUUCGAAUCGAAUACAUUUUCGACACGAGCCGAGGACAACGUUCGAGGACUCUCCAAUUUCCUGUUACGACGAUUCUUCGAGGAAGUGGCAUACCUUCCUUAAAAAUCGAGGUUUUGACCAGAAGGAAAUUAGAAGAUUGGAAGGUUUGUCGAGUAAUUACAAGUUAAAUAGAGCGUAGAAACUCGAGUCACUAUAUCGAUUAAUAUUAAUUUCGUCGCGUUAUAAAUAUCGAAAUUGCAUAGAAUUUUAUAUAAAAAAACGUAAAUGAAUAAUAAUAAGGAACAAAGAAAGAAAGAAAGAAUCUUUGGAAUUCUUUUUCAAGAAUAAUAUGAUGGAAGAUGGACGAAAAAGAAUUGUACGAAUCCAAUAAUUAAAAGGAGUUACAUUUUGCAACAAUUGCGUUUUGAGGAUAUACAGCAUCUCUCUCUAUUUUAAUGGCAACUUAAAUUAAAAACCACGAAAUCACUCUAAUUACAACAAAAUUCAACAACAAAAGUGAAAUGGACACAAUUUCUCUUCAAUUCUGUCGAGCCCAAAAAGAAAAAAGAACAGAUUCCUUGAACAAUUAUAUAUUACUAUAUUUCUCUGAUACAACAAACUCUCUUUCCCUCUUUUCCUCUCUCUCUUCAAAGAAAUUUUAGUUCCCUAACUAACCAAUUUUCUUUCACUUUACAGGAAACAACUUAAAUUAGAAACCACGAAAUCACUCUAAUUACAACAAAAGUGGAAUGGACACAAUUUGUCUUCAAUUCUGUCGAACCCAAAAAAAAAAAAAGAACAGAUUCCUUGAACAAUUAUAUAUUACUAUAUUUCUCUGCUACAACAAACUCUCUCUCUUUCUUUCUUCAAAGAAAUUUUAGUUCCCUAACUAACCAAUUUUCUUUCACUUUACAGGGGAUAACUUAAAUGAAAAAAUCACUCUAAUUACAACAAAGUUCAACAACAAAAGUGAAAUGGACACAAUUUCUCUUCAAUUCUGUCGAAUCCUCAAAAAAGAAAAAAGAACAGAUUCCUUGAACAAUUAUAUAUUACUAUAUUUCUCUGCUACAACAAACUCUCUCUCUCUCUCUCUCUUCAAAGAAAUUUUAGUUCCCUAACUAACCAAUUUUCUUUCACUUUACAGAGAAAAUUAAAUUAGAAACCACGAAAUCACUCUAAUUACAACAAAAGUAAAAUGGACACAAUUUGUCUUCAAUUCUGUCGAACCCCAAAAAAAGAAAAAAGAAAAAAGAAGAGAUUCCUUGAACAAUUAUAUAUUACUAUAUUUUUCUGCUACAACAAACUCUCUCUCUCUCUCUUUCUUCAAAGAAAUUUUAGUUCCCUAACUAACUAAUUUUCUUUCACUUUACAGAGAACAACUUAAAUUAAAAAUUACGAAAUCACUCUAAUUACAACAAAAGUAAAAUGGACACAAUUUGUCUUCAAUUCUGUCGAACCCAAAAAAAAAAAAAAAAAGAACAGAUUCUUUUUACAAUAUCAAAAUGCAAUAAGAAAGGAAGGCAAAGCACACGAAACGGUUGAGGUGAUUUCCUUCGGAGAACGCCUUGAUCCCCCUCCCUCCCCUCCCCCUCUUCCUCUUUCGAAUCGAAUCGGCAGCAUGAAUGGAAACGAGAUUUCUCGUCAAUCAAGGUGAAUGUCUGAAGGCGGAGGAGGAAUAGAGGUCGAUAUCGGAGGCGGACACGACAAGGCAUAGUAAUUAACAGACGUUUCGAUCGCGCGAGUACCAUCGGUCCUCAACAAAUUGUGGUCUGUGAUCUAAAUGUGUGAACGGACCAACUCCGGGGGGAUUCGACUUGAUGGCGGUUAGAGAAUUUCAAGGGAUCAGGCUUGCUAACGUGUAUUAUAUUCUGAAUAGUUGUCGUUAGUUGCUGACAAAUUUUCUCUUGUCCCGGCGUGUCGUCGCUCUUCAACAACGGCCGCCCCUCGACAGCCUGCUGAAACUCGAGUAUCGUCCCCGUUUCUCUCGAUGGAAUUAUCAUACCGACGCGGCGGAUUCUAAACGAGAUAAUAUUUCAAGAUUUCUUUCCAAAAGGAUUUUGUAUCUUCGUUUCUUCGAAAUUGUCAACUUUUAUUCGAGUUAUCCAUCUAAAAACUAUGGAUUUGUUUUUCUUUCUGGAUUGCAAGAAAUGUUAUUUCUGAAGAUAUAUAUUCUACACUGUUCUUGUAUUAAUUUCAUUUUAAUUUUCCCUUUCCAGCGGAUUCUAAGCGAGAUAUUUUAAGAUUUCUUUCUAAAAGAAAUUAUAUCUUCGUUUCGAAAUUUUUAUUGGAGUCAAUGAGUUGAUUACACGAAGAAAAAUCGGAAGUUUUGUCCAUCUAAAAACGAUGGAUUUGCUUUUCUUUCUGGAUUCGGAUUCUAGCGAGAUAAUAUUUCAAGAUUUCUUUCUAAAAGAAAUUAUAUCUUCGUUUCGAAAUUUUUAUUGGAGUCAAUGAGUUGAUUAUACGGAGAGAAGUCGAAAGUUUUGUCCAUCUAAAAACUAUGGAUUUGCUUUUGUUUCUCGAUUGCAAGAAAUGUUAUUUCUGAAGAUAUAUAUUCUACACUGUUCUUGUAUUAAUUUCAUUUUAAUUUUCCCUUUCCAGCGGAUUCUAAGCGAGAUAAUAUUUCAAGAUUUCUUUCCAAAAGGAUUUUGUAUCUUCGUUUCGAAAUUGUCAACUUUUAUUCGAGUCAAUGAAUUGAUUACACGGAGAGAAAUCGGAAGUUUUAUCCAUCUAAAAACUAUGGAUUUGCUUUUCUUUCUGGAUUGCAAGAAAUGUUAUUUCUGAAGAUAUAUAUUCUACACUGUUCUUGUAUUAAUUUCAUUUUAAUUUUCCCUUUCCAGCGGAUUCUAAGCGAGAUAAUAUUUCAAGAUUUCUUUCCAAAAGGAUUUUGUAUCUUCGUUUCGAAAUUGUCAACUUUUAUUCGAGUCAAUGAAUUGAUUACACGGAGAGAAAUCGGAAGUUUUAUCCAUCUAAAAACUAUGGAUUUGCUUUUCUUUCUGGAUUGCAAGAAAUGUUAUUUCUGAAGAUAUAUAUUCUACACUGUUCUUGUAUUAAUUUCAUUUUAAUUUUCCCUUUCCAGCGGAUUCUAAACGAGAUAAUAUUUCAAGAUUUCUUUCCAAAAGGAUUUUGUAUCUUCGUUUCGAAAUUGUCAACUUUUAUUCGAGUCAAUGAGUUGAUUAUACGAAACAAGAAAAGUCGGAAGUUUUGUCCAUCUAAAAACUAUGGAUUUGGUUUUUGUUUCUCGAUUGCAAGAAAUGUUAUUUCUGAAGCUAUAUAUUCUACACUGUUCUUGUAUUAAUUUCAUUUUAAUUUUCCCUUUCCAGCGGAUUCUAAACGAGAUAAUAUUUCAAGAUUUCUUUCCAAAAGGAUUUUGUAUCUUCGUUUCGAAAUUGUCAACUUUUAUUCGAGUCAAUGAGUUGAUUAUACGAAACAAGAAAAGUCGGAAGUUUUGUCCAUCUAAAAACUAUGGAUUUGGUUUUUGUUUCUCGAUUGCAAGAAAUGUUAUUUCUGAAGCUAUAUAUUCUACACUGUUCUUGUAUUAAUUUCAUUUUAAUUUUCCCUUUCCAGCGGAUUUUAAACGAGAUAUUUCAAGAUUUCUUUCUAAAAGAAAUUAUAUCUUCAUUUCGAAAUUUUUAUUGGAGUCAAUGAGUUGAUUACACGGAGAGAAGUCGAAAGUUUUGUCCAUCUGAAAACUAUGGAUUUGCUUUUCUUUCUGAAUUCGCACGAGCAUGCCGCACGAAACAAAGGAUUAUUAGUAUGCCAGGCUCACGUACGCCUUUCCAUUAUUAUAAGUACAUAUCGUUUGUGCUGGUGAAUUUGGAUGAUAUCGCGUAAUAUGGGUCAGGAUAGUCCAUUUAAUCUUCCCCGGCUCGUGUUAUGCCGGUGAAUAAUGCAAAUUAGGCAACGGAUAACACGAUCGUAUACAACGAUCAUAUUUCGAUUACUCGAGAUCUUUACUCGCUGGAAGUGAAAAUUAUCGUUCUCGAAGAAUUUUUUCCCAUUUUAUUUAUUUCCUUUCUUAUUUAAAUUGAAUUGAAUCGAAUAGAUAUCGUUUACGAGCAGAUAUUCAAUUCGUACGUAUAUACACGGACGAAUGAAAGUUUUGCAAUUAGUGGAUGGCGUUCUAAUCGUUAACCAUAACCUUGUUUUAACAACUUUGUUUCGCCGAUGAUAGAACGUCGAGUCGAAGCGAACGAAGAUUCGACUCGUCGUGUGUAUAAAUUAUAAUCUUCCGCUUUGAGUAAUAAUAUUUUAUCGUUGAAUCAAAGUGAAGCAUAGAAUAGAAUAGGAUGGAAUAAAAGUUAGAAACGAAAAGAAACGAAAUUGAAAAGAUUUGUGUAAACGAUUAAAAAAUAAUAAAAAGAAAAAAAGAAGAAGAAGAAAAGAGUUUGUUUGAGAGCUUGUUAAUCACCAAAUUUUGAAUUUGAAUUAUUACUUUUUUUUUUUCAAAAUUGAUUCUAAAUAUAAAUUGUUGCAAUCUCUAA